This 202-nucleotide long non-coding RNA is filed under the name Elaeis guineensis (African oil palm). RNAcentral describes it as "long non-coding RNA (EGUI_LNC003427)". Lineage: Eukaryota; Viridiplantae; Streptophyta; Magnoliopsida; Arecales; Arecaceae. The record is from RNAcentral.
UGAAAUAUCUGGUAGAGAUACUUGUUACUUACUGGGCUGUCUAGCUCAUUACCUUUCUUUCUAUUUUUCAGAUUCAGAUAAUUAAUUUCAAGCGUGGAAAGAAAUAUUGGGACAGAGCUUUUAGAAGCGAGAUUAGCAUUGUCAACUUCAUUGAAUUUAGAUCUAUUAUUUUAUUGUUAGCAAAAAUUUUAUUGGAUGUAAG